CCCUACGGGAGGCAGCAGUGAGGAAUAUUGGUCAAUGGGCGGGAGCCUGAACCAGCCAAGUCGCGUGAGGGAAGACGGUCCUAUGGAUUGUAAACCUCUUUAGGCGGGGAGCAAUGCCGGGCACGCGUGUCCGGAGGGAGAGUACCCGCAGAAUAAGCAUCGGCUAACUCCGUGCCAGCAGCCGCGGUAAUACGGAGGAUGCGAGCGCUAUCCGGAUUUAUUGGGUUUAAAGGGUGCGUAGGCGGAUUUUUAAGUCAGCGGUAAAAUGUCCGGGCUCAACCCGGGGCGGCCGUUGAAACUGGGGG
Molecule: ribosomal RNA, 305 nt
Filed under: uncultured bacterium
Lineage: Bacteria
Description: bacterial SSU rRNA
Rfam family: Bacterial small subunit ribosomal RNA
Source: RNAcentral